AAAGUAGAUUUUCUUGAAUCAGGAGAGGAAGGGAGGGCUGGAGAGAGGGGCUGCUUGCUGUCUUCGUGUCCUAGAGAAACAGGCACAAGCUGGACUUCCUGAUAACAAAGCAAUUGUGCAAGGACAGAGUGGAUCGAUGGCAACAAAACCCUAGGGACAAAGGAUCUCCUGAAAACCAAUCUCUGCUUCCUGCCAUGCUGUAUCAGGAUCCCAUGUGUAUCCCAAAAGGGGACAUCCUGUAACCUAUAGCCAGAAUUCAAGGACAUAAGCUUUAUGACCCCUGUGAAGAGGAACCACAUGUUUUCAAGAAAGAAAUGUGCCAGAGGAUGCAUACACACACUUUUGGAUUUCCUGGACUGAAACUCUUCUCCCUGCUCCUUUUGAAGGCCAGCAAGACAUGGAUUCAAUGGUGGCAGAACCACCACUUUUCAAUUGCAAUGCAGUGAACUCAGAACACUUAAAAAGUCAUGAGGGCUGUGAUGGGGUGAGAAACUGAAUUCCAGCUGAGGCAAGGGGUUAUCUUCCAACAGACAGAAGAGUAGCCUUCACCUGAAGAGACAAUAACUUUUUGACACACUUUAACUCGAUCGCUUAUGAAUGACUCUAACCCUGUGCAAUAAGGAUAAAAGACUCUUUUAAAUUGAUUUAGAGUCCACAAAAAAGGUUGUGCCAGUACCUUAUUAUUUAAAUCAAUGCUACUUCGCUGUGCAGACAAGAUCUAAGUGUUAAGCUUUGUGGAUGUAGUGAGUCCUACAGAGGGAACUGAAGUGAUCAAUUUUUUUCUCACAAUCACACCCUGCGGGGACUGAGAAAGAAGCUCCAAAACAUUGAAAUUUGGCUUUCCUGGACACCUUCCUAUUUAAGGUAUUCCAAAAAGCUUUUCAGUAAUAAGCUGAAUGUUGGUGCUAAAAAGACUGCACAAACACAGAGAC
This 932-nucleotide long non-coding RNA is filed under the name Numida meleagris (helmeted guineafowl). Its description in RNAcentral is "lncRNA (ENSNMEG00000011881.1)". Lineage: Eukaryota; Metazoa; Chordata; Aves; Galliformes; Numididae. The record is from RNAcentral.